RNAcentral lists this ribosomal RNA (468 nucleotides) under uncultured bacterium. Its description in RNAcentral is "partial 16S ribosomal RNA". It matches the Rfam family "Bacterial small subunit ribosomal RNA", at positions 28 to 507 of the family's 1533-position model. The record is from RNAcentral.
GACGAACGCUGGCGGCGUGCUUAACACAUGCAAGUCGAACGGAAAGGCCCUGCUUUUGUGGGGUGCUCGAGUGGCGAACGGGUGAGUAACACGUGAGUAACCUGCCCUUGACUUUGGGAUAACUUCAGGAAACUGGGGCUAAUACCGGAUAGGAGCUCCUGCUGCAUGGUGGGGGUUGGAAAGUUUCGGCGGUUGGGGAUGGACUCGCGGCUUAUCAGCUUGUUGGUGGGGUAGUGGCUUACCAAGGCUUUGACGGGUAGCCGGCCUGAGAGGGUGACCGGGCACAUUGGGACUGAGAUACGGCCCAGACUCCUACGGGAGGCAGCAGUGGGGAAUAUUGCACAAUGGGCGGAAGCCUGAUGCAGCAACGCCGCGUGCGGGAAGACGGCCUUCGGGUUGUAAACCGCUUUCGCCUGUGACGAAGCGUGAGUGACGGUAAUGGGUAAAGAAGCACCGGCUAACUACGUG